RNAcentral lists this ribosomal RNA (497 nucleotides) under uncultured bacterium. RNAcentral's name for it is "partial 16S ribosomal RNA". It matches the Rfam family "Bacterial small subunit ribosomal RNA", at positions 28 to 507 of the family's 1533-position model. The record is from RNAcentral.
GAUGAACGCUGGCGGCGUGCCUAAUACAUGCAAGUCGAGCGAACGGACGAGAAGCUUGCUUUUCUGAUGUUAGCGGCGCACGGGUGAGUAACACGUGUAUAACCUACCUAUAAUAGUGGGAACACUUCGGGACACCGGAGCUAAUACCGGAUAAUAUUUUGAACCGCAUGGUUCAAAAGUGAAAGACGGCUUUGCUGUCACUUAUAGAUGGAUCUGCGCUGCAUUAGCUGGUAGUGAAGGUAAUGGCUUACCACGGCAAGUAUGCAUAGCCGACCUGAGAGGCGGAUCGGCCACAUUGGAACUGAGACACGGUCAUGGCUCCUACGGGAGGCAGCAGUAGGCAAUCUGCCGCAAUGGUCGAAAGCCUGACGGAGCAACGGCGCGUCAGUUAUGAAGGUCCCCGGAUCGUAAAACUCUGUUACUAGGGAAGAACAUAUGUGUAAGUAACUGUGCACAUCUUGACGGUACCUAAUCAGAAAGCCACGGCUAACUACGUG